This 301-nucleotide ribosomal RNA is filed under the name uncultured bacterium. Its description in RNAcentral is "partial 16S ribosomal RNA". It matches the Rfam family "Bacterial small subunit ribosomal RNA", at positions 509 to 807 of the family's 1533-position model. The record is from RNAcentral.
CAGUCGCCGCGGUAAAACGUAGGUAGCAAGCGUUGUCCGGAAUUAUUGGGCGUAAAGCGCGCGCAGGUGGUUUAAUAAGUCUGAUGUGAAAGCCCACGGCUCAACCGUGGAGGGUCAUUGGAAACUGUUAAACUUGAGUGCAGGAGAGAAAAGUGGAAUUCCUAGUGUAGCGGUGAAAUGCGUAGAGAUUAGGAGGAACACCAGUGGCGAAGGCGGCUUUUUGGCCUGUAACUGACACUGAGGCGCGAAAGCGUGGGGAGCAAACAGGAUUAGAUACCCCAGUAGUCCCUGUCUCUUAUAC